RNAcentral lists this ribosomal RNA (501 nucleotides) under uncultured bacterium. Its description in RNAcentral is "partial 16S ribosomal RNA". It matches the Rfam family "Bacterial small subunit ribosomal RNA", at positions 30 to 523 of the family's 1533-position model. The record is from RNAcentral.
AUUGAACGCUGGCGGCAGGCUUAACACAUGCAAGUCGAGCGGAGAUGAGGUGCUUGCACCUCAUCUUAGCGGCGGACGGGUGAGUAAUGCUUAGGAAUCUGCCUAUUAGUGGGGGACAACAUUCCGAAAGGAAUGCUAAUACCGCAUACGUCCUACGGGAGAAAGCAGGGGAUCUUCGGACCUUGCGCUAAUAGAUGAGCCUAAGUCGGAUUAGCUAGUUGGUGGGGUAAAGGCCUACCAAGGCGACGAUCUGUAGCGGGUCUGAGAGGAUGAUCCGCCACACUGGGACUGAGACACGGCCCAGACUCCUACGGGAGGCAGCAGCGGGGAAUAUUGGACAAUGGGGGGAACCCUGAUCCAGCCAUGCCGCGUGUGUGAAGAAGGCCUUAUGGUUGUAAAGCACUUUAAGCGAGGAGGAGGCUACUGAGACUAAUACUCUUGGAUAGUGGACGUUACUCGCAGAAUAAGCACCGGCUAACUCUGUGCCAGCCGCCGCUGUAA